RNAcentral lists this ribosomal RNA (468 nucleotides) under uncultured bacterium. RNAcentral's name for it is "partial 16S ribosomal RNA". It matches the Rfam family "Bacterial small subunit ribosomal RNA", at positions 28 to 507 of the family's 1533-position model. The record is from RNAcentral.
GACGAACGCUGGCGGCGUGCUUAACACAUGCAAGUCGAACGGAAAGGCCCUGCUUUUGUGGGGUGCUCGAGUGGCGAACGGGUGAGUAACACGUGAGUAACCUGCCCUUGACUUUGGGAUAACUUCAGGAAACUGGGGCUAAUACCGGAUAUGAGCUCCUGCUGCAUGGUGGGGGUUGGAAAGUUUCGGCGGUUGGGGAUGGACUCGCGGCUUAUCAGCUUGUUGGUGGGGUAGUGGCUUACCAAGGCUUUGACGGGUAGCCGGCAUGAGAGGGUGACCGGCCACAUUGGGACUGAGAUACGGCCCAGAAUCCUACGGGAGGCAGCAGUGGGGAAUAUUGCACAAUGGGCGGAAGCCUGAUGCAGCAACGCCGCGUGCGGGAUGACGGCCUUCGGGUUGUAAACCGCUUUCGCCUGUGACGAAGCGUGAGUGACGGUAAUGGGUAAAGAAGCACCGGCUAACUACGUG